RNAcentral lists this ribosomal RNA (2912 nucleotides) under Clostridium perfringens. Its description in RNAcentral is "bacterial LSU rRNA". It matches the Rfam family "Bacterial large subunit ribosomal RNA". Lineage: Bacteria; Bacillati; Bacillota; Clostridia; Eubacteriales; Clostridiaceae. The record is from RNAcentral.
AUAUAGGUCAAGCUACAAAGGGCGCAUGGUGAAUGCCUUGGCAUCAGGAGCCGAUGAAGGACGUGAUAAGCUGCGAUAAGCUUCGGGUAGGCGCACAUAGCCUGAGAUCCGAAGAUCUCCGAAUGAGGAAACUCACAUGGGAAACCCCAUGUAUCAUUAAGUGAAUACAUAGCUUAAUGAAGGUAACCCAGGGAACUGAAACAUCUAAGUACCUGGAGGAAGAGAAAGAAAAAUCGAUUUUCUUAGUAGCGGCGAGCGAAAGGGAAAGAGCCCAAACCGGAAACUUGUUUCCGGGGUUGUGGACAUAGCAUAAAAGUGGAGGCUAUUGUAACUGAAGAGAACUGGAAAGUUCCACCGUAGAAGGUAAUAGUCCUGUAAGUGAAACGAGAAGACCACGAGUUAUGAUCCAGAGUACCACGAGACACGUGAAACCUUGUGGGAAGCAGGGAGGACCACCUCCCAAGGCUAAAUACUACCUGAUGACCGAUAGUGAAGCAGUACCGUGAGGGAAAGGUGAAAAGAACCCCGGGAGGGGAGUGAAAUAGAACCUGAAACCGUGUGCCUACAACCGCUCAGAGCCCCUUAUGAGGGUGAUGAGGUGCUUUUUGUAGAACGAGCCAACGAGUUACGGUAUGUAGCAAGGUUAAGUACUUAAGGUACGGAGCCGAAGGGAAACCGAGUCUGAAUAGGGCGACUAGUUGCAUGCCGUAGACCCGAAACCGGGUGACCUAUCCAUGGCCAGGUUGAAGCGAGGGUAAAACCUCGUGGAGGACCGAACCACGUUGCUGUUGAAAAAGCAUGGGAUGAGCUGUGGAUAGCGGAGAAAUUCCAAUCGAACCCGGAGAUAGCUGGUUCUCUCCGAAAUAGCUUUAGGGCUAGCGUCGAGUAUGAGUAGUGGAGGUAGAGCACUGAAUGGGCUAGGGGGCAUAGCGCUUACCGAACCUUAUCAAACUCCGAAUGCCACAUACUUUGAGCUCGGCAGUCAGACUACGAAUGAUAAGAUCCGUGGUCAAAAGGGAAACAGCCCAGAUCGUCAGCUAAGGUCCCAAAGUGUAAGUUAAGUGGGAAAGGAUGUGAGAUUUCUAAGACAACUAGGAUGUUGGCUUAGAAGCAGCCAUUCAUUAAAAGAGUGCGUAAUAGCUCACUAGUCGAGAGAUCUUGCGCCGAAAAUGUAACGGGGCUAAACUUACCACCGAAGCUACGGGCUUGAACUUAGUUCAAGCGGUAGGAGAGCGUCGUAACCGGGCUGAAGUCGUACCGUAAGGAGCGGUGGACUGGUUACGAGUGAGAAUGUUGGCAUCAGUAGCGAGAUGUGGGUGAGAAUCCCACAGGCCGAAAACCUAAGGUUUCCUCAGGAAGGUUCGUCCGCUGAGGGUUAGUCGGGACCUAAGCCGAGGCCGAAAGGCGUAGGUGAUGGACAACUGGUUGAUAUUCCAGUACCACUACCAUCGUUAUUAUCGAUGGCGUGACGCAGGAGGAUAGUGUGUGCUAGCUAUUGGAUGCUAGUCUAAGCGUUUAGGCAGUGAGAGUAGGCAAAUCCGCUCUCAUAAUGCUGAGGCGUGAUGGGGAAGGUUCUACGGAACCGAAGUACAUGAUUCCACGCUGCCAAGAAAAGCGUCUAGAGAGAGAAGUAGUGCCCGUACCGCAAACCGACACAGGUAGGUGAGGAGAGAAUCCUAAGGCCGGCGGAAGAAUUACAGUUAAGGAACUCGGCAAAUUGACCCCGUAAGUUCGCGAGAAGGGGUGCCUACGAGAGUAGGCCGCAGAGAAUAGGCCCAAGCAACUGUUUAGCAAAAACACAGGUCUCUGCUAAAGCGUAAGCUGAUGUAUAGGGGCUGACGCCUGCCCGGUGCUGGAAGGUUAAGGGGAACACUUAGCGCAAGCGAAGGUGUGAACUUAAGCCCCAGUAAACGGCGGCCGUAACUAUAACGGUCCUAAGGUAGCGAAAUUCCUUGUCAGGUAAGUUCUGACCCGCACGAAUGGCGUAAUGACUUGGGCACUGUCUCAACUGUAAAUCCGGCGAAGUUGUAGUGCGAGUGAAGAUGCUCGCUACCCGCGAUUGGACGGAAAGACCCCGUAGAGCUUUACUGUAGCUUAGCAUUGAGUUUUGGUAUUGUCUGUACAGGAUAGGUGGGAGACUAGGAAACCAGGGCGUCAGCCUUGGUGGAGUCAACCUUGGGAUACCACCCUGACAGUACUGAAAUUCUAACUGGCGGCCAUGAAUCUGGUCACAGGACAUUGUUAGGUGGGCAGUUUGACUGGGGCGGUCGCCUCCUAAAAAGUAACGGAGGCGCCCAAAGGUUCCCUCAGAACGGUCGGAAAUCGUUCGAAGAGUGCAAAGGCAGAAGGGAGCCUGACUGCGACACCCACAAGUGGAGCAGGGACGAAAGUCGGGCUUAGUGAUCCGGUGGUACCUCGUGGGAGGGCCAUCGCUCAACGGAUAAAAGCUACCUCGGGGAUAACAGGCUGAUCUCCCCCAAGAGUCCACAUCGACGGGGAGGUUUGGCACCUCGAUGUCGGCUCGUCGCAUCCUGGGGCUGAAGUAGGUCCCAAGGGUUGGGCUGUUCGCCCAUUAAAGCGGCACGCGAGCUGGGUUCAGAACGUCGUGAGACAGUUCGGUCCCUAUCCGUCGCGGGCGUAGGAAAUUUGAGAGGAGCUGUCCUUAGUACGAGAGGACCGGGAUGGACUGACCUCUGGUGUACCAGUUGUUCCGCCAGGAGCACAGCUGGGUAGCUAAGUCGGGAAUGGAUAAACGCUGAAAGCAUCUAAGCGUGAAGCCAACCUCAAGAUGAGAUUUCCCAUAGCGUAAGCUAGUAAGAUCCCUUGAAGAACACAAGGUUGAUAGGUCGGGGGUGUAAGCAUGGUAACAUGUUCAGCUGACCGAUACUAAUAGAUCGAGGGCUUGACCAAAU